Thiomonas delicata is the source of this 117-nucleotide regulatory RNA element. It matches the Rfam family "ALIL pseudoknot". The record is from Rfam. NCBI's taxonomy places the organism in Bacteria, Pseudomonadati, Pseudomonadota, Betaproteobacteria, Burkholderiales.
UGCUUUUUUCGCCCAGGCGGAGCUCGACCGCCGUUUGAAGAGUUGAAGCGAUUCAUCGACCAGCACCGCCCCAUGCACGGGGUCGAGCCCAUCUGCAAAGUGCUGCAGAUGGCCCCG